Molecule: unclassified non-coding RNA, 276 nt
Filed under: Rhizophagus sp. (in: glomeromycetes)
Lineage: Eukaryota; Fungi; Glomeromycota; Glomeromycetes; Glomerales; Glomeraceae
Description: partial contains 5.8S ribosomal RNA and internal transcribed spacer 2
Rfam family: 5.8S ribosomal RNA (bases 1-71)
Source: RNAcentral
GUGAAUCAUCGAAUCUUUGAACGCAAAUUGCGCUUCCUAGCAUCCCGGGAAGCAUGCCUGUUUGAGGGUCAGUUUUAACAUAAAAAUCGGUUUGGUUGCAAAUUGACGUUUCCGGUGUUUGGGCUAUCUUAACUUUUAUGGUUUAGGGGCUUAAAAUUGACCUUCUUUGCGCAUUUUUAGACGUACAUAAAUUUUUUUUUUAUUCGUCUCUUCUUAAUGCCAAAUUCUUACUUGAUGCGAUCACAUCGUGUGGUUUCGUGUCCACAAAAUUUUCAU